Oryza sativa Indica Group (long-grained rice) is the source of this 205-nucleotide microRNA precursor. It matches the Rfam family "MIR812 microRNA precursor family". Lineage: Eukaryota; Viridiplantae; Streptophyta; Magnoliopsida; Poales; Poaceae. The record is from Rfam.
UUUAAGUGCAACCAUAAGUUUCCAUGCCCAAUUUUAAUUGUCCAUCUUAUUUAUUUUUUUUAUAAUUAGUAUUUUUGUUGUUAUAAGAUGAUAAAACAUAAAUAUUACUUUAUGCAUGACUUAUGUUUUUUUAUUUUUUUUAAAAAAAAAUUCAAAUAAGACGAACAAUCAAAAUUUGACACGAAAAAUCAUAGUUGCGCUUAAA